GGUAUUUAACAUAUCUCAGAUGUAAACACAUAAAUAACUACGAUGUUUAUAUAUGAAGUGUCUGCAGUGUUUAUGAAGGAGAAUGGCACAACUGAACCAGUUUGGAGAGAUUAUAUAAAGAAAAAUGCAUUAAGGAAACACUAAUGGAGAUCAUUGUGCAACCCUCUUGAAGUUAGGUAAAGCUAUAUGACUGAAUUCUACACAAGAGACUGUGAGCAAAAGUGAUGUUCCCCUCUUCUAGUCCCCUCUCUCCCUUUCCUUUUCCUUGUCUGACAGUUUGAGGUAAGGCCUCCAGUGGAAGACCCUGAGCCUUUAUGAUAACAGUAUCAAAAUAUGGAAGGGGGCUGGGUACCUGAGUGACUACAUGGAACAGAGAACCAACUCCCCAUUUCUUCCUGCCACCACUAACACACAGUAGAUGGUGAAGUGCAUGACAAAGGAACAAACUCUCAACAUUCUGAGGUUGUUUGUUUCAAUGGUUAGUGUGACUUAAUUUGUCUAAUAAAGAUAUUAACAGUUUGAGUAGGCUGCUUUUGCAACUGAAACUUCCAACAUGUAAUUACUGGUUUAUCAGACUGGAGGUAGGUGGUGAAGGAACAGAUAUAACAGGAUGGACGCCUAUAUAUCUGUGUUAUUCAGUGUCAAAUAUUUAAUUAAACAGUAGAAGAGAGAAAGUGUAUCUACUGGGAUCUACCUUUAAGAAAUGAGGUUGGUUAAAAACUGUUAUUCUCUUUUGGAUAUGGUUAUUUACUAUGCUGAGCAAUGUGUUACCUAAAAAGAUAAAUUUAGGAAAGAAUAGGCAGCAUUAAAUGAAAAGGAAUAGGAAAAAAAAAAAAAACCCAGAAACUUGGGUUUAUUCAGGUUGUGAAGUACUUACCUGGACUCCAAACAAUUUUUUAAGAGAGAUUUAAAAGCCUUUUGUAAAAAAACAAAAAAUAAAAAAAUAAAAAAUAAAAGCCUUUUGUAAGAUUUCCUACUUAAAGUAACUCCGACCUGGAACAUGUUUAGACUGAGGGUAUGGAUAUGACAUCCAAUUAGUUUUAGAUAGUCACCAGGUGUGCCAUUAAGUUGAAAAAGAGAAACUUAGAGGUGAGAAAGCAAAGAAAUAAAUUUAUCUAAGAGAAUAUUCUGGACUGCAUAGAUUAAGAGCCUACCAAUACUUUAGGGAAUUUUAUUGCCUUUUAUUAUUCCAUCUGUAACACAAUCUUUGGACUCAAGCUUGCUUCCAUAGGAACUAGUCUGAAAAAGUUAUACAGGAUUAAAAUCCUUACAAAAGACAGAGACAAUAAGUUAAAAACAGAAGAAAAAUGUCUUCCAGGGCAGAGCCGCCAAGAUCAAAGAGAAUAACGAACAAUAUGUUAUAUUGCCUAGAGAUCUUAGGCUUUCUGUUGAAUCCCUUGGAGAGAGGCUUUGGGUGUUCCAUAGAUAGAAUAAAUGGAACAAAAGAUAUUUGUUGAUCAAAGGGACAGAAUCCACAUUUCUCGUCUUUUAAAAGUUAGACUAAUUUCCCAGUCUUUUUGAAGCAAGGUCAUGUGACUGAAUUCUAACCAAUAGAAAGCAGACAGAAGGGUUUAUGACUAUCUUAGUCUGCUCAGGCUGCUAUGAUAUAUUAUAGAUUGAGCGACUUAAACAAAUUUAUUUCUCAUCAUUCUGAAGGUGAAGAAGGUCAAGAACAAGGUGUCAGCCAACUUGACAUUUCGGAAAUGGCUGCAUAUCAGAGUUCUCCACUGUUCUCCACACUUACUCUCUCCCUUAUCUCCGAGCUGGUAGCAGAGGAGCCAGCAGAAGACAGCAAGCCCUUGGUAUAGAUAGAGAAGCCAUGGAUGAAAAGAAGCAGGCCUUAAAGACAGAGCAAAGUAACAUAGCAUUCCUCUCUACUAUCAUCCUGUACUGGAUAGGCCCCCACAAAUAAUCCUGUAUUUUGGUAAACCGAUGCUUGAGGAAGACAUGCUAGAGCAAAAACUACAACUCUGGUCCUCUUGGAUAUUUUAGAUAAGGACUUUACCCACAUAAAGAAGGUGUUGCCCUGGGGACUGGCUGAGAGAAAUUACAGACUGUUACUCACUUCAAAAGAAACGGACUGCUACAGUGGUACUUACGUCACCAGAAAGAAACACUUCCACAAAGAAUUUGAUUUGAUGGCAUCAUGUGGACAUAGAACUCUCAUAGUAAUGACCCAACCUGUGUUUCCAGUCAUCCUGAUGAACUCUCAACAAAAUCAGAUUGUUAUACUGUUGUUCUCACUUUACACCGAUAUUUUCUCUUGCUCCUAAAAAAAGUAUCUGGUAUUAAAUAGAAUUCUGUAUCUUAAAAAACUUGCCAUUGAGAAAAAUGAGAAGUAACUGUACAUUUUAAUACUGAAGGUUUUAAUAAAAAAAGCAGUGUGAA
RNAcentral lists this long non-coding RNA (2388 nucleotides) under Homo sapiens (human). RNAcentral's name for it is "HSALNT0339192". Lineage: Eukaryota; Metazoa; Chordata; Mammalia; Primates; Hominidae. The record is from RNAcentral.